GAUGAACGCUGGCGGCGUGCUUAACACAUGCAAGUCGAACGGAAAGGCUCUUGCUUCCUGGGGUACUCGAGUGGCGAACGGGUGAGUAACACGUGGGUGAUCUGCCCUGCACUUCGGGAUAAGCUCGGGAAACUGGGUCUACUACCGGAUAGGAUGAUGGUUUGGAUGCCAUUGUGGAGAGUUUUUUCGGUGUGGGAUGUGCUCGGGGCUUAUCAGCCUGUUGGUGGGGGAGUGGCCUACCAAGGCAUCGACUGGUAGCCGACCUGGGAGGGGGUACGGGGACACGAGGCCUGAGAUACGGCCCAGACUCGAAUGGGAGGCAGUGGUGGGGAGUAUUACACAGGGGGAGCGAGCCUGAGGAGGCGACGCCGCGUGGGGGAAGACGGCCUGCGGGUUGUGAACUCCAGCCGCUUGGGACGAAGCGAUAGUGACGGUACCUGAAGAAGAAGCACCGGCUAACUACGUG
This 466-nucleotide ribosomal RNA is filed under the name uncultured bacterium. RNAcentral describes it as "partial 16S ribosomal RNA". It matches the Rfam family "Bacterial small subunit ribosomal RNA", at positions 28 to 507 of the family's 1533-position model. The record is from RNAcentral.